GAUGAACGCUAGCUACAGGCUUAACACAUGCAAGUCGAGGGGAAACGACAUCGAAAGCUUGCUUUUGAUGGGCGUCGACCGGCGCACGGGUGAGUAACGCGUAUCCAACCUGCCCACCACUUGGGGAUAACCUUGCAAAAGUAAGACUAAUACCCAAUGACGUCUCUAGAAGACAUCUGAAGGAGAUUAAAGAUGUAUCGGUGCUGGAUGGGGAUGCGUCUGACUAGCUUGUUGGCGGGGUAACGGCCCACCAAGGCGACGAUCAGUAGGGGUUCUGAGAGGAAGGUCCCCCACAUUGGAACUGAGACACGGUCCAAACUCCUACGGGAGGCAGCAGUGAGGAAUAUUGGUCAAUGGGCGAGAGCCUGAACCAGCCAAGUAGCGUGCAGGAUGACGGCCCUAUGGGUUGUAAACUGCUUUUAUAAGGGAAUAAAGUGAGUCUCGUGAGACUUUUUGCAUGUACCUUAUGAAUAAGGACCGGCUAAUUCCGUGCCAGCAGCCGCCGUAA
This 508-nucleotide ribosomal RNA is filed under the name uncultured bacterium. Its description in RNAcentral is "partial 16S ribosomal RNA". It matches the Rfam family "Bacterial small subunit ribosomal RNA", at positions 28 to 523 of the family's 1533-position model. The record is from RNAcentral.